Small nuclear RNA from Antechinus flavipes (yellow-footed antechinus), 104 nucleotides. Lineage: Eukaryota; Metazoa; Chordata; Mammalia; Dasyuromorphia; Dasyuridae. The record is from RefSeq and is a predicted model, not a curated record.
UUGCUCCCUUUGGCAACAUAUAUACUAAAACUGGAACAAUACAGAGAUUAGUAUACCCCUUGUGAAAAGAUAAUGUGAAAACUCAGGGAACGUUCCACAUUUUU